UUAAGCUAAGAAGAGCGUAGGGAGAAUGCCUUGGCAUUAGGAGCCGAUGAAGGACGUGAUAAGCUGCGAUAAGCUGCGGGGAUCAGCAAGUAUGAAUUGAUCCGCAGAUUUCCGAAUGGAGCAAUCCGUAUGUGUAUGCACAUACAUCAUAUACUGAAUCAAAUAGGUAUAUGAGGGGAACCGCCUGAACUGAAACAUCUAAGUAGGGCGAGGAAGAGAAAUCAACCGAGAUUCUGUGAGUAGUGGCGAGCGAAAGCGGAAGAGGCUAAACCAUAGGUAGCAAUACUUAUGGGGUUUCGGACAGCAUUUAGUAUUGAUAAUUUCUAGUUGAAACGUGUGGGAAAACGUACCGAAGAGUGUGAGAGUCACGUAAGCGAAAGAGAGAGUCAGCGAGCUGUAUCCAAAGUACCGCGGGACACGUGAAACCCCGUGGGAAGAUGGGGGGACCAUCCUCCAAGCCUAAAUACUACCUAAUGACCGAUAGCGAAUAGUACUGUGAAGGAACGGUGAAAAGAACCCCGGGAGGGGAGUGAAAAAGAACCUGAAACCCUAUGCUUACAAGCACCGAGAGCACGUCAAAGUGUGAUCGGGUACCUUUUGUAGAAUGGUCCGGCGAGUUAUUGUAUGCGGCAAGGUUAAGUGCUUAAGGCACGGAGCCGAAGCGAGAGCAAGUCUGAAUAGGGCGAAAAAGUCGUAUGCAAUAGACCCGAAACCGAGUGACCUAUCCAUGUCCAGGCUGAAGUGGAGGUAAAACUCCAUGGAGGGCCGAACACACGUCCGUUGAAAAGGCCGGUGAUGAGGUGUGGAUAGCGGAGAAAUUCCAAUCGAACUCGGAUAUAGCUGGUUCUCUCCGAAAUAGCUUUAGGGCUAGCCUCGUGAAAGAUUACUGGAGGUAAAGCACUGAAUGGGCUAGGGGUCGAAAGAUUACUGAACCCUAUCAAACUAAGAAUGCCAGAUAAUUGAUUCACGGGAGUCAGACAAUGUGAGAUAAGUCUCAUUGUCAAAAGGGAAACAGCCCAGACCCACAGCUAAGGUCCCUAAACAUUGUUAAGUGGAAAAGGAUGUGGGGUUGCAUAAACAACCAGGAUGUUGGCUUAGAAGCAGCCACUCAUUAAAAGAGUGCGUAAUAGCUCACUGGUCGAGUGACUCUGCGCGGAAAAUAUAACGGGGCUAAGCAUGCAACCGAAGCUUGGGAUUGUCUAAAGACAGUGGUAGGGGAGCGUCGUGUACGGGGUGAAGUCGCAGCGGAAGCAGCGGUGGACUGUACAGGAGUGAGAAUGCCGGAAUGAGUAGCGAGAAUUAUGUGGGAAUCAUAAUGGCCGAAAAUCUAAGGUUUCUUGGGGAAGGUUCGUCCGCCCAAGGUAAGCCGGGAGCUAAGGCGAGGCCGCAAGGCGUAGUCGAUGCACAUACGGUAGAAAUUCCGUAGCCGGCUCAAUCGUUAAGCAUACUGACACAUGAGAGUAGCUCUACCGGGCGUUGGUUGCCCCGGGCGUAAGCGAGCCGAAUGAGGCGAAGUGAGUAAAUCUUGUGGCGAGAAAAGGUGUGUGUAUUGGUUGGGCUGCCCGUACCGCAAACCGACACAGGUAGAUGAGGAGAAGAUCCUAAGGCCAUCGGGAGAAGGGUUGUUAAGGAACUAGGCAAAUUGACCCCGUAACUUCGGGAGAAGGGGUGCCUACGAGAGUAGGCCGCAGAGAAUCGGCCCAAGCAACUGUUUACCAAAAACACAGGUCUCUGCUAAAUCGAAAGAUGACGUAUAGGGGCUGACGCCUGCCCGGUGCCGGAAGGUUAAGAGGAGAGCUUAGCGCAAGCGAAGGUUUGAAUUGAAGCCCCGGUAAACGGCGGCCGUAACUAUAACGGUCCUAAGGUAGCGAAAUUCCUUGUCAGGUAAGUUCUGACCCGCACGAAAGGCGUAAUGAUUUGGGCACUGUCUC
This 1931-nucleotide ribosomal RNA is filed under the name human gut metagenome. Its description in RNAcentral is "bacterial LSU rRNA". It matches the Rfam family "Bacterial large subunit ribosomal RNA", at positions 3 to 2022 of the family's 2925-position model. The record is from RNAcentral.